This 404-nucleotide ribosomal RNA is filed under the name Actinomycetes bacterium. Its description in RNAcentral is "Actinobacteria bacterium partial 16S ribosomal RNA". It matches the Rfam family "Bacterial small subunit ribosomal RNA", at positions 355 to 776 of the family's 1533-position model. The record is from RNAcentral. Lineage: Bacteria; Bacillati; Actinomycetota; Actinomycetes.
UGGGGAAUAUUGGACAAUGGGCGCAAGCCUGUUCCAGCCAUGCCGCGUGAGUGAUGAAGGCUCUAGGGUUGUAAAGCUCUUUCACCGGUGAAGAUAAUGACGGUAACCGGAGAAGAAGCCCCGGCUAACUUCGUGCCAGCAGCCGCGGUAAUACGAAGGGGGCUAGCGUUGUUCGGAUUUACUGGGCGUAAAGCGCACGUAGGCGGAAUUUUAAGUCAGGGGUGAAAUCCCGGGGCUCAACCCCGGAACUGCCUUUGAUACUGGAAGUCUUGAGUAUGGUGGAGGUGAGUGGAAUUCCGAGUGUAGAGGUGAAAUUCGUAGAUAUUCGGAGGAACACCAGUGGCGAAGGCGGCUCACUGGACCAUUACGGACGCUGAGGUGCGAAAGCGUGGGGAGCAAACAGG